UAGCUAGUUGGUGGGGUAAGGGCCUACCAAGGCGACGAUCGGUAGCUGGUCUGAGAGGAUGACCAGCCACACUGGAACUGAGACACGGUCCAGACUCCUACGGGAGGCAGCAGUGGGGAAUAUUGGACAAUGGGGGCAACCCUGAUCCAGCAAUGCCGCGUGUGUGAAGAAGGCCUGAGGGUUGUAAAGCACUUUCAGUGGGGAGGAGGGUUGAUAGGUUAAGAGCUAAUUAACUGGACGUUACCCACAGAAGAAGCACCGGCUAACUCCGUGCCAGCAGCCGCGGUAAUACGGAGGGUGCGAGCGUUAAUCGGAAUUACUGGGCGUAAAGGGUGCGUAGGUGGUUGAUUAAGUUAUCUGUGAAAUUCCUGGGCUUAACCUGGGACGGUCAGAUAAUACUGGUUGACUCGAGUAUGGGAGAGGGUAGUGGAAUUUCCGGUGUAGCGGUGAAAUGCGUAGAGAUCGGAAGGAACACCAGUGGCGAAGGCGGCUACCUGGCCUAAUACUGACACUGAGGCACGAAAGCGUGGGGAGCAAACAGGAUUAGAUACCCUGGUAGUCCACGCUGUAAACGAUGUCAACUAGCUGUUGGUUAUAUGAAAAUAAUUAGUGGCGC
RNAcentral lists this ribosomal RNA (616 nucleotides) under uncultured Legionella sp. Its description in RNAcentral is "bacterial SSU rRNA". It matches the Rfam family "Bacterial small subunit ribosomal RNA", at positions 242 to 849 of the family's 1533-position model. Lineage: Bacteria; Pseudomonadati; Pseudomonadota; Gammaproteobacteria; Legionellales; Legionellaceae. The record is from RNAcentral.